GGGCCCGCACAAGCAGUGGAGUAUGUGGUUUAAUUCGAAGCAACGCGAAGAACCUUACCAGGGCUUGACAUCCCUCUGACAGGUAUAGAGAUAUACCUUCUUUUCGGAGCAGAGGAGACAGGUGGUGCAUGGUUGUCGUCAGCUCGUGUCGUGAGAUGUUGGGUUAAGUCCCGCAACGAGCGCAACCCUUGUUGUUAGUUGCCAGCAUUAAGAUGGGCACUCUAACGAGACUGCCGGUGAUAAAUCGGAGGAAGGUGGGGACGACGUCAAAUCAUCAUGCCCCUUAUGUCCUGGGCUACACACGUACUACAAUGGCGGUGACAAAGGGAAGCAAAACCGCGAGGUAGAGCAAAUCCCGAAAAGCCGUCCCAGUUCGGAUUGCAGGCUGCAACUCGCCUGCAUGAAGUCGGAAUUGCUAGUAAUGGCAGGUCAGCAUACUGCCGUGAAUACGUUCCCGGGCCUU
Molecule: ribosomal RNA, 463 nt
Filed under: uncultured bacterium
Lineage: Bacteria
Description: bacterial SSU rRNA
Rfam family: Bacterial small subunit ribosomal RNA
Source: RNAcentral